CAAGUCGAACGGUAACAGGCUCAGCUUGCUGGGUGCUGACGAGUGGCGGACGGGUGAGUAACGCGUAGGAAUCUGCCUUAUAGCGGGGGACAACCUGGGGAAACUCAGGCUAAUACCGCAUGUGCACUACGGUGUAAAGUAUGGGACCUUCGGGCCAUACACUAUAAGAGGAGCCUGCGUCGGAUUAGCUUGUUGGUGGGGUAAAGGCCUACCAAGGCGACGAUCCGUAGCUGGUCUGAGAGGACGACCAGCCACACUGGGACUGAGACACGGCCCAGACUCCUACGGGAGGCAGCAGUGGGGAAUAUUGGACAAUGGGCGCAAGCCUGAUCCAGCAAUACCGCGUGUGUGAAGAAGGCCUGCGGGUUGUAAAGCACUUUCAGUAGGGAGGAAGGCUUUAGUGUUAAUAGCACUGAGGAUUGACGUUACCUACAGAAGAAGCACCGGCUAACUCUGUGCCAGCAGCCGCGGUAAUACAGAGGGCGCGAGCGUUAAUCGGAAUUACUGGGCGUAAAGGGUGCGUAGGUGGUUUGUGAAGUCAGACGUGAAAGCCCCGGGCUUAACCUGGGAAUUGCGUUUGAAACUAGCAAGCUAGAGUGCAGUAGAGGGAAGUGGAAUUUCCGGUGUAGCGGUGAAAUGCGUAGAUAUC
This 649-nucleotide ribosomal RNA is filed under the name uncultured bacterium. RNAcentral's name for it is "bacterial SSU rRNA". It matches the Rfam family "Bacterial small subunit ribosomal RNA", at positions 58 to 698 of the family's 1533-position model. The record is from RNAcentral.